This 424-nucleotide ribosomal RNA is filed under the name uncultured bacterium. Its description in RNAcentral is "bacterial SSU rRNA". It matches the Rfam family "Bacterial small subunit ribosomal RNA", at positions 355 to 796 of the family's 1533-position model. The record is from RNAcentral.
UUAGGAAAUUUUGCCAAUGGGGGAAACCCUGAGCGAGUAACGCCGCGUGAAGGACGAAGGCCUUCGGGUCGUAAACUUCUUUUCUGUGGGACGAUAGUGACGGUACCACAGGAAUAAGCCCCGGCUAACUACGUGCCAGCAGCCGCGGUAAUACGUAGGGGGCGAGCGUUGUCCGGAAUUACUGGGCGUAAAGAGCGCGUAGGCGGCAUGAUAAGUUCCGUGUGAAAGCCCCCGGCUCAACUGGGGAGGGUCGCGGAAAACUGUCAAGCUGGAGUGUUGGAGAGGGAAGUGGAAGUCCCGGAGUAGGGGUGAAAUCCGUAGAUACCGGGCCGAACACCAGUGGCGAAGGCGACUUCCUGGCCAACGACUGACGCUGAGGCGCGAAAGCGUGGGGAGCGAACGGGAUUAGAUACCCCCGUAGUCC